AUCCUGGCUAAAACGGUGGAACCCUGUCUCUACUAAAAAUACAAAAAAUUAGCUGGGCAUGGUGGUGGGCGCCUGUAGUCCCAGCCACUCAGGAGGCUGAGGCAGGAGAAUGGUGUGAACCCGGGAGGCAGAGCUUGCAGUGAGCUAAGAUCGUGCCACUGCACUCCAGCCUGGGCGACAGGGCGACAGAGCAAGAAUCCGUCUCAAAAAAAAAAAAAAAAAAAAAAAAAAAACCUCUUAAAACAAGUACAGCAAGAACUUUGAGGGUCUUUGCUAAGACAGCAGCUGGCAGCUUCAAUUUGGAGUAGGGUAUCAAAGGCAACUGUGUAUAAGGAAUAGUUAUAUAACUGGUAUCCAAUUUCUGAGAUGAUUUUGACUUAAACAUUGUGUAUUUCCCAGCAUACUGUUGGUUUUUCUAAUUAUGUGGGAAAUUAUGUUGCUUUUACUUUUUUUUUUGCUCAUUGCCCAGCCUAGGGUGCAAUGCUGCAAUCUCAGCUCACUGCAACCUCCGCCUCCCAGGUUUAAGUGAUUCUUCUGCCUCAGCCUCCCAAGUAGCUGGGAUUACAGGCGCCCACCACCAUGCCUGGCUAAUUUUUUGUAUUUUUGGUAGAGACAGGGUUUCACGACGUUGGCCAGGCUGGUCUCAAACUCCUGAUCUCAAGUGAUCCACCUGCCUCUGUGUCCCAAAUUGCUGGGAUUACAGGCAUGAGCCACCGCACCGGCCAUGCUUUCAGUUUUCAAGAAAGAAGACACCAUUAUUGCCAAAGAUUUUGGUAAUUUGAGAGAUACAAUGUAUGUUUUCUCCAUGUGGAUACUAGAUAGUAAGGAUGUGUUGAAUUUGAAGUGUCUAUCCAGAAGUAUUUUGGGUACUUGUUUAAGGAUUGUAAAACAAUGUUUCCAUUUCUGGAUAUAAUAAAUGUAUUUGUUAAUAUAAUAAAUGAAUAGAUUAGACCCAUAAACUAUUUGCAGUGUUGAGUCAUUUCCCACAGUUAAAAUCAGGAUGAAAAUAUAUAGCUGAAUACCUGCUUUGUUUCUUGUAACUGAUUUCUUUAGUACAGAACCUGCUAAGGCCAUCAAACCUAUUGAUCGGAAGUCAGUCCAUCAGAUUUGCUCUGGGCCGGUGGUACUGAGUCUAAGCACUGCGGUGAAGAAGAUAGUAGGAAACAGUCUGGAUGCUGGUGCCACUAAUAUUGAUCUAAAGCUUAAGGACUAUGGAAUGGAUCUCAUUGAAGUUUCAGGCAAUGGAUGUGGGGUAGAAGAAGAAAACUUCGAAGGCUUAAUCUCUUUCAGCUCUGAAACAUCACACAUCUAAGAUUCGAGAGUUUGCCGACCUAACUCGGGUUGAAACUUUUGGCUUUCGGGGGAAAGCUCUGAGCUCACUUUGUGCACUGAGUGAUGUCACCAUUUCUACCUGCCACGUAUCGGCGAAGGUUGGGACUCGACUGGUGUUUGAUCACGAUGGGAAAAUCAUCCAGAAAACCCCCUACCCCCACCCCAGAGGGACCACAGUCAGCGUGAAGCAGUUAUUUUCUACGCUACCUGUGCGCCAUAAGGAAUUUCAAAGGAAUAUUAAGAAGAAACGUGCCUGCUUCCCCUUCGCCUUCUGCCGUGAUUGUCAGUUUCUUGAGGGCUCCCCAGCCAUGCUUCCUGUACAGCCUGCAAAACUGACUCCUAGAAGUACCCCACCCCACCCCUGCUCCUUGGAGGACAACGUGAUCACUGUAUUCAGCUCUGUCAAGAAUGGUCCAGGUUCUUCUAGAUGAUCU
This 1766-nucleotide long non-coding RNA is filed under the name Homo sapiens (human). RNAcentral describes it as "HSALNT0341498". The record is from RNAcentral. Lineage: Eukaryota; Metazoa; Chordata; Mammalia; Primates; Hominidae.